Molecule: ribosomal RNA, 492 nt
Filed under: uncultured bacterium
Lineage: Bacteria
Description: partial 16S ribosomal RNA
Rfam family: Bacterial small subunit ribosomal RNA
Source: RNAcentral
AGUGAACGCUGGCGGUAGGCCUAACACAUGCAAGUCGAACGGCAGCACAGUAAGAGCUUGCCCUUACGGGUGGCGAGUGGCGGACGGGUGAGGAAUACAUCGGAAUCUACUUUUUCGUGGGGGAUAACGUAGGGAAACUUACGCUAAUACCGCAUACGACCUACGGGUGAAAGCAGGGGAUCUUCGGACCUUGCGCGAUUGAAUGAGCCGAUGUCGGAUUAGCUAGUUGGCGGGGUAAAGGCCCACCAAGGCGACGAUCCGUAGCUGGUCUGAGAGGAUGAUCAGCCACACUGGAACUGAGACACGGUCCAGACUCCUACGGGAGGCAGCAGUGGGGAAUAUUGGACAAUGGGCGCAAGCCUGAUCCAGCCAUACCGCGUGAGUGAAGAAGGCCUUCGGGUUGUAAAGCCCUUUUGUUGGGAAAGAAAAGCAGCAGGUUAAUACCCCGCUGUUCUGACGGUACCCAAAGAAUAAGCACCGGCUAACUUCGUG